Molecule: long non-coding RNA, 971 nt
Filed under: Helianthus annuus (common sunflower)
Lineage: Eukaryota; Viridiplantae; Streptophyta; Magnoliopsida; Asterales; Asteraceae
Description: hypothetical non coding rna
Source: RNAcentral
GAGAGAGGAGUAGGAGGAGGAGUGAGAAGCGAUCCAUUUUGAGGAGAAGAAGAUUCCAGCUUUUGGGGAUAUGUAGGGAGUAGCGAGUAGUGUGGUGGUGGUUGAAUACGACGGCGUUUCGAUGCGUCGUGCUUUGUGGCGUGGGAGGUGUACCGUGUACCUUUAGUAUACUCCACGUGGCUGGAUCUUCAUCAGUACUAGCGGUUACUCAAAUGAGAUUUUUUUUUUAUAUAUAUAUUUAAGUGUGAAAAAGAAAUGAGGCACUGGUGGGCAGUGAUACGAGACCCAGGGAAAACUAGGUUCGAUCCUUGAGCCAAACGAGUUUUACCGGUAAUUUUACACGUCGUGCCCCUACGGGUGGGUGAGUUACCGGGUUUUCCCUGAAAUUGGUGGUGGACAACUCAGGUGCAGUGGAUGCCCCAUGAGUACUCGGGAUAGAUUUGUUGGCCGUUCAAAAAACAAAAAAAAAAAGGUGUUAGUGAGUUGCCAACUAAAUCAUGCUACAAUAUUCGGAGGAAAAAGUUGUACGGAUAGCCGAUAGCAUAUAUUAUCAUUAUGGUUUUAAUUCUAGAGAUAUGAUAUUUUGGAUCCUCACUCAAAUGAAUUAAAGAGCCAGUUGAAUGAACGAGAGGCGGAGGAGCAAUCAAAUAAUUAUAUAGCUUUGUUUCAACUUGUUAUUGUUAUUAGUUGUGUCGCUUGGUGUGUGGGUCAAAUGCAUACAAUAAGUUUUUUUUUUAUUUGUAAAUGAGCGAAAGUAUCAGUGUGGGGCUAGGCCACUUGGUAGAGACUCUUGUCUCUUAAGGGGGGUCUUGGGUUCAAUCUCAAGCAAGGAGUAAUUUAGAAUUAAAUUUGGUGUAAAUUAGGAGUGAGUAAGCAUUGUCAUUCAAAAAAAAAAAAAAAAGCGGAAGUCAUGUUCGUAUAUUUGUAGCCAAUUGGAAAAAAACAAAAGAGAAUGAACAAAUUUUCAUGUC